This 620-nucleotide ribosomal RNA is filed under the name uncultured bacterium. RNAcentral describes it as "bacterial SSU rRNA". It matches the Rfam family "Bacterial small subunit ribosomal RNA", at positions 61 to 685 of the family's 1533-position model. The record is from RNAcentral.
GCGAAGCACUUUUUUAGAACUCUUCGGAGGGAAGAGAGGGUGACUUAGCGGCGGACGGGUGAGUAACGCGUGGGCAACCUGCCUUACACAGGGGGAUAACAAUUAGAAAUGAUUGCUAAUACCGCAUAAGACCCCGGUACCGCAUGGUACAGGGGUAAAAACUGAGGUGGUGUAAGAUGGGCCCGCGUCUGAUUAGGUAGUUGGUGGGGUAGAAGCCUACCAAGCCGACGAUCAGUAGCCGACCUGAGAGGGCGACCGGCCACAUUGGGACUGAGACACGGCCCAAACUCCUACGGGAGGCAGCAGUGGGGAAUAUUGCACAAUGGGGGAAACCCUGAUGCAGCGACGCCGCGUGAGUGAGGAAGUAUUUCGGUAUGUAAAGCUCUAUCAGCAGGGAAGAAAAUGACGGUACCUGACUAAGAAGCCCCGGCUAACUACGUGCCAGCAGCCGCGGUAAUACGUAGGGGGCAAGCGUUAUCCGGAUUUACUGGGUGUAAAGGGAGCGUAGACGGAAUUGCAAGUCUGAUGUGAAAAUCCGGGGCCCAACCCCGGAACUGCAUUGGAAACUGUAUUUCUAGAGUGUCGGAGACGCCCCCCCGACUUCCUGGUGUAGCGGUGAA